This 750-nucleotide unclassified non-coding RNA is filed under the name uncultured Synechococcus sp. RNAcentral's name for it is "partial contains 16S ribosomal RNA and 16S-23S ribosomal RNA intergenic spacer". The stretch from base 1 to 265 matches the Rfam family "Bacterial small subunit ribosomal RNA", at positions 1270 to 1533 of the family's 1533-position model. The record is from RNAcentral. Lineage: Bacteria; Bacillati; Cyanobacteriota; Cyanophyceae; Synechococcales; Synechococcaceae.
AAUCUCAUAAACCGUGGCUCAGUUCAGAUCGUAGGCUGCAACUCGCCUACGUGAAGGAGGAAUCGCUAGUAAUCGCAGGUCAGCAUACUGCGGUGAAUACGUUCCCGGGCCUUGUACACACCGCCCGUCACACCAUGGAAGUUGGCCACGCCCGAAGCCGUUACUCCAACCCUUGUGGAGGAGGACGUCGAAGGUGGGGCUGAUGACUGGGGUGAAGUCGUAACAAGGUAGCCGUACCGGAAGGUGCGGCUGGAUCACCUCCUAACAGGGAGACAACACAAUGAUUUUGAUGCCUGAGUAGUUUUAUUCUUAGGCCGAAAUCCUGUCACCUUAGGUCGAUCGGUACCUCAGCAUUAAGAGCAGUGAUUGAUGAGCAAUCAUCAAGAGACUGAAGGAGAUGUUCAGUUCCUAAACUUUGUCUAGGUCACACCCCACAAGGGUUGAGUCUUCCUGGGCCAUUAGCUCAGGUGGUUAGAGCGCACCCCUGAUAAGGGUGAGGUCCCUGGUUCAAGUCCAGGAUGGCCCAUUCGGUGUUGGGGGUUUAGCUCAGUUGGUAGAGCGCCUGCUUUGCAAGCAGGAUGUCAGGAGUUCGAGUCUCCUAACCUCCACUGACCGAACUUAAUCUCCAUCUUCUGAAGAUUGGAAGGUGAACUCGAAGGUGUGUGUGAUUUAGAUGUGUCCGCUGACAUGAACUCAGCUUCCUGUCAUUCUAAGUGAAGAGUAUUGCUCUGAAUUUAGUUGAUAAGAUGC